This 471-nucleotide ribosomal RNA is filed under the name Triticum aestivum (bread wheat). Its description in RNAcentral is "partial small subunit ribosomal RNA". The record is from RNAcentral. Lineage: Eukaryota; Viridiplantae; Streptophyta; Magnoliopsida; Poales; Poaceae.
AUGGGAGCCAUGGAGGGGGUGCGCUGGAGGGAGCAGCUUGGGUUCUCGCCGCCAUGCUCGCCAUGCCGUGCCACCCCUCAUUUCUCUCCCUUUUCUUGGUUUUCUUCCUCUCUCUCUCUCUCCCUCAUGCUUCCUCGUUUUCUUUCAGGAGAACGGCGGCGCAACCAUGGCGCCACCCAUGAGAACCCAAACGCCUUGCAAGGUCCAUCUGCCGCUCGCCUGGAUCUGGACGCCGCCGUUGUUCCGCGCGUCCAGCCCAUCUGCCACCGCCCUGUGCAGAUCUCACUCGAUCAGAUCGAGCGGGAGAGCCGCCUGCCGUCGUACACGCUCGUUGACCCACCUCGAUCCAUAGAUAGGGGUGGGCCCGCUGGCGACGCGCGGCGGCGGCCUGCGGCGCACGGUGAGGCGGGACUGGCCAUGGCAGGAGGUGGCGGCGGGCUGGAGGUGGGAUCGGGAGGCAGACAUGGUUGA